GCUUUUUGGGUUUAAAAGGUAGGCUCUGCUCAGUGAUUUUUAACAGCCGCGGUAUUUUGACCGUGCAAAGGUAGCAUAAUCAUUUGCUUCGUAAUUGGGGGCUAGCAUGAAUGAGUUAACGAAGGCUCUACUUUAUUCUUUAGAUAUAAGUAAUUUUCUUUUUUAGUGAAGAAGCUAAAAUUUUUAAGGGGACAAGAAGACCCUUUUGAGCUUUACUGGCUUUCUUUUUGAUGUGGGUUAGUUUGGUUGGGGCGACCUAGGAGUAUCUUCCUUAAUAUGUUGAUCCACUUUUAGUGAUAGAAAGACUAAGUUACCAAAGGGAUAACAGCGUAAUCUUCUUUGAGAGCUCUUAUUAAAUAGGGGGAUUGCGACCUCGAUGUUGACUUAUAGUUUCCUUAAGGUGUAGCCGCUUUUAAGGUAGGUCUGUUCGACCUUUAAAACUUU
This 444-nucleotide ribosomal RNA is filed under the name Ototyphlonemertes macintoshi. Its description in RNAcentral is "partial 16S ribosomal RNA". It matches the Rfam family "Archaeal large subunit ribosomal RNA", at positions 1926 to 2666 of the family's 2987-position model. The record is from RNAcentral. Lineage: Eukaryota; Metazoa; Nemertea; Enopla; Monostilifera; Ototyphlonemertidae.